Molecule: long non-coding RNA, 793 nt
Organism: Gallus gallus (chicken)
Lineage: Eukaryota; Metazoa; Chordata; Aves; Galliformes; Phasianidae
Source: Ensembl
CUUGUGAUGUGUACUUAAGUCAGCACUGUUUUGCACUAAAUCCCUGCUGCUCCCCUCUUUCCCUGCUGGGCUUGUGUUGAGCUUAUGGCAAAUAAAACCUAUUUUUUCUACUUUUCCAUGAGGCACCAUAAGUGUAGAGACUGGAGUCUGCAAGCUCUUUGCUACCCUUUGAGCUUUAUACAAGAUCUUCCUGCAUGCACUGUGCACCUCAUGAAGCAAGCUAUCAGGGGCGUUUUGGGGAUAGCUGGGAUAUGUUUGUGUCUUUUUGGAGAUCCCCAUUUGUCACUGACAGGUAAGACGGGCUAGCUGUGCUGUCUCUGAGACACUCUGCUAUCUAGUUUCUCCUCAAGUUGGGGGAUUUGGGUGACCCAGCAGCCCCUAUUGUGUUUGCAUGCCACUGCCCCAGAGGAGCUUUACUGGAUGUAGUGCAAGCAACUCACAAGACACAGCUUCUCAUCAAAAAAAUUAGAAGAAUUGUUUUUCCCACACAAAGCUGCAGAAGAAUGCUGCAGUGUUGCUGGAGAUCUGGGACUGGAUUAAGCUGAAGUAGGAAGCUGGGGACAUGAAAACAAGGUGAAUCAAAACUGAAGAAAUUAUUCUUGUGAAACGUAAUUCACUUACACAGCUAGCAGGUGUUGUGUGGCUCUUAAUAGCUGCAAACCCAGAAAGUGUUCCUGCUACUAAACUUGGCUUGCUUUUCUCUUGAACUUUAAGUAGGCUCUUCCUUGGAAGAUGUAAAAUCUUGUCUAUAUUUAUAUCUACCGUUCUGCCUAAGUAAAAUGUAAAGUAAUAC